GCGCCGAUGGUUUAGUGGUAAAAUCCAUCGUUGCCAUCGAUGGGCCCCCGGUUCGAUUCGGGUCGGGCGCA
Molecule: transfer RNA, 71 nt
Filed under: Yarrowia lipolytica
Lineage: Eukaryota; Fungi; Ascomycota; Dipodascomycetes; Dipodascales
Description: tRNA-Gly
Rfam family: tRNA
About the family: Transfer RNA (tRNA) molecules are approximately 80 nucleotides in length. Their secondary structure includes four short double-helical elements and three loops (D, anti-codon, and T loops). Further hydrogen bonds mediate the characteristic L-shaped molecular structure. tRNAs have two regions of fundamental functional importance: the anti-codon, which is responsible for specific mRNA codon recognition, and the 3' end, to which the tRNAs corresponding amino acid is attached (by aminoacyl-tRNA synthetases). tRNAs cope with the degeneracy of the genetic code in two manners: having more than one tRNA (with a specific anti-codon) for a particular amino acid; and 'wobble' base-pairing, i.e. permitting non-standard base-pairing at the 3rd anti-codon position.
Source: RNAcentral